Molecule: long non-coding RNA, 309 nt
Organism: Saccostrea echinata
Lineage: Eukaryota; Metazoa; Mollusca; Bivalvia; Ostreida; Ostreidae
Exons: 2
Source: RefSeq, a predicted model, not a curated record
GAAGUCCAAAUUUUCCCAUGGAUUCCGCGCCACUUUGCGACUACUAUCUAACAGAGGGGUGGUACAGUGCCCCUUCCUAUUUGAUGCCGUCAUCACCACCUGGACUUACGGCUUGUGGUACUCUUUAUCCGUACUGGAUGAAAGGAUUACUGCCUAGUACUGUUGGGAAUGAGACAGAUGUCGAAAUUUGUGGUGUAGGAUUCUCAUCAACUUGCCAAAAGAGUUUUAACAUCAGAGUGAAGAAGUGUAACAAUUUUUUUGUUUACAAACUUAAGUCUUUGGAUUCAUGCAAUUCGGCGUACUGCUUCG